RNAcentral lists this ribosomal RNA (476 nucleotides) under Podosphaera pannosa. RNAcentral's name for it is "eukaryotic LSU rRNA". It matches the Rfam family "Eukaryotic large subunit ribosomal RNA", at positions 160 to 651 of the family's 3401-position model. The record is from RNAcentral. Lineage: Eukaryota; Fungi; Ascomycota; Leotiomycetes; Helotiales; Erysiphaceae.
UGCUUUGGGUGUGGGCCUGGCCUAAGUUCCUUGGAACAGGACGUCGUAGAGGGUGAGAAUCCCGUAUGCGGCUGGCGCCCGCGCCCAUGUAAAGCUCUUUCGACGAGUCGAGUUGUUUGGGAAUGCAGCUCUAAAUGGGUGGUAAAUUUCAUCUAAAGCUAAAUAUUGGCCAGAGACCGAUAGCGCACAAGUAGAGUGAUCGAAAGAUGAAAAGCACUUUGGAAAGAGAGUUAAACAGUACGUGAAAUUGUUGAAAGGGAAGCGCUGGCAACCAGACUUGGGCGCUGUUGAUCCGUUAGGGUUCUCCCUGGGGUACUCAGCAGUGCGCAGGCCAGCAUCGGUUUGGGGGGUUGGAGAAAGGCUGGUGGAAUGUGGCUGCCUUCGGGCAGUGCUAUAGCCACCGGUGGCAUGCAGCCUCCCCGGACCGAGGACCGCGCUUCGGCUAGGAUGCUGGCGUAAUGGUUGUCAGCGACCCG